UUGGAAACUGGCGAACUUGAGUGCAGUAGAGGCAAGUGGAACUCCAUGUGUAGCGGUGGAAUGCGUAGAUAUAUGGAAGAACACCAGUGGCGAAGGCGGCUUGCUGGACUGUAACUGACGUUGAGGCUCGAAAGUGUGGGUAGCAAACAGGAUUAGAUACCCUGGUAGUCCAUACCGUAAACGAUGAAUGCUAGGUGUUAGAAGGUUUCCGCCUCUUAGUGCCGAAGCUAACGCAUUAAGCAUUCCGCCUGGGGAGUACGACCGCAAGGUUGAAACUCAAAGGAAUUGACGGGGACCCGCACAAGCGG
This 308-nucleotide ribosomal RNA is filed under the name uncultured bacterium. Its description in RNAcentral is "bacterial SSU rRNA". It matches the Rfam family "Bacterial small subunit ribosomal RNA", at positions 626 to 932 of the family's 1533-position model. The record is from RNAcentral.